ACGGAAGGCAGCAGUGGGGAAUAUUGGGCAAUGGGCGCAAGCCUGACCCAGCGACGCCGCGUGAGUGAAGAAGUAUUUCGGUAUGUAAAGCUCUUUAAGCAGGGAAGAAAACGACGGUACCUGCAGAAUAAGCACCGGCUAAAUACGUGCCAGCAGCCGCGGUAAUACGUAUGGUGCAAGCGUUAUCCGGAUUUACUGGGUGUAAAGGGAGCGUAGGUGGUUCGGCAAGCCAGAAGUGAAAACCCGGGGCUCAACUCCGCGGAUUGCUUUUGGAACUGUUGAGCUAGAGUGCAGGAGGUGUAAGUGGAAUUCCCAGUGUAGCGGUGGAAUGCGUAGAUAUUGGGAGGAACACCAGUGGCGAAGGCGGCUUACUGAACUGUAACUGACACUGAGGCUCGAAAGCGUGGGGAGCAAACAGGAUUAGAUACCCUGGUA
This 435-nucleotide ribosomal RNA is filed under the name uncultured Lachnospiraceae bacterium. Its description in RNAcentral is "partial 16S ribosomal RNA". It matches the Rfam family "Bacterial small subunit ribosomal RNA", at positions 341 to 792 of the family's 1533-position model. The record is from RNAcentral. Lineage: Bacteria; Bacillati; Bacillota; Clostridia; Lachnospirales; Lachnospiraceae.